Molecule: long non-coding RNA, 1173 nt
Organism: Cyanistes caeruleus (blue tit)
Lineage: Eukaryota; Metazoa; Chordata; Aves; Passeriformes; Paridae
Source: RefSeq, a predicted model, not a curated record
GAUCCACCGACUGUCAGAUGUCCUAAAGGAGCCCAAAAACUGCAGACUUCCAGCAAUCUGACUGCAAAUAACAGUCUCCAGGGUGUCUGGAUGGAAGUGCAGAAACACGUGCUGCAAACCACACAGCCUACAGGACACUCUACAGUGGCAUUGAAGUUGCAGAGCAGUGUUUGAAAAAGGAUGCCAUGAGGCAACAAUUCCUAAGGUAUCCAAACCAUCAACUUAAAAACUACUCUGGCCACUCAGGAAAUGCAGAACUGAAAAGGAAGGCCCAGUACACACAACUCAGCAAACACUCAGCUGUGGCAGGACCACAUCACAGCAGGUACCACUACAGGUGUGUCCCUCAGGAAGAUACAUUUCUAUCAUAUUCUACAUUGCUUUAUCCAAAUCUAGAAGUCAGCUGUUAAAAAUAAUCCCUCCUUGGUCCCUUCAUAUUAUAACAUUACUUUAAUCCUAAAAAGCCCAAGUACUGCUACUGCAUGUAGCUACCGACAUGGUACACAGAAGGGAAAGAAAGGAAGAAUGUUCACUAAGAGCCAGGACCAAAAUCUGCUGAUAUCAGAAGGGCUCCUACAGAGUUUGGUGUGCUUGAAUCAGACCCUAAAGCAGUUGUCAACUUCAGCAGGGGCAGAAAAACAGAAUAAUUCAGUCUUGACUUCAAAAUCUCUUCAAGUUGUCUUUAAACAAAAAGCAUUUCAGAAGACAGCACUAGGUGUUUUUUUCACUGGUCACCUUCCUUCUUGUCAGUUGUUCACCGUCAGAAAAUAUCUGCAGUUUUACUUGGUGCUUUCCUGCAAACCUUAAAGCUUUUAGAGCACUGAAGAUGAAUGAACCUGGCAGUAAGAGGAGGAAGGGAGUGAUAAAUAGCAAUUUUGUGCUGAGAACACAGCAGGCAGUAGGACACCAGAUAAAAGGAAGAUUAGUGGAGAACAAGAAUCAAAGGCUUCUUUCCUUUAAAAGUCUAGAUGGAUGCACAGUGCUAUUGGAUCUGUAAAUGCACACUUGUCCUCCUACUUCACAAAUCAACUUCAGUAUGACAAAGCCCAGGCUGGGUGACGCCACCCACUGCCCUCGGAGACGUUCACAAGUGGUUUCAACAAUCAAACAGUGCAACAUCUCUUCAGGAAACACAGAUAGUACAAGUGACAUAAAGAAAAAGUUAUUUCACAA